This 1074-nucleotide long non-coding RNA is filed under the name Cyanistes caeruleus (blue tit). RNAcentral's name for it is "lncRNA (ENSCCEG00000009418.1)". Lineage: Eukaryota; Metazoa; Chordata; Aves; Passeriformes; Paridae. The record is from RNAcentral.
AUGGCUUUCGGCUGCAACACUUUAAUAGUACACUGAAAUCCAGCUGUUCCUGCUCUCCAGUCCACUUGGCUGCAGCCCUGACUGGCACAGCAGCGUGAAUGGUUUUGUCUCUCACUGGGGACAUGCAAAACACGGUCAUCCAAGGAGCUCCUUGAAAUUAAAGUACUGUUUUUCUGGGCUGUUUGUGUUGUUGCUCUGCUGGGUCCUAGCAGAAAUUUGCACCUUGCAGCUCACUGGUGGUGGAGACAUCAGACACACAGACAAGGAUGAUUUCUGCAGUGAAAUGCCAGCACAGGCUGUCAGUAUGCAGGAAGACUCAACUGAGGAAGGACUUCCAGCAGCAGAGGAACACUGUAACUGUUCACAGAGGAACACUUCAGCCACCCAGGGCAAGGUCUCAGCUUGUUGCCUUCCUGGUCAUCCUCACACACAGACAAUGCAGAAGAGCCACAUUUUCAAAGGUGACCAGAAAUUUCCAUCACUUGGCCAGUGACAUCCCAAAAGGAGAUUGCUUAACUUGGAGCAUGAGAGAAGCCUACAGGAGCCCAGGGCAUCACACAGGAGUUCCAUGCAAAGCCCAAGGUGUGGCUCCAUGGCUCUUUGGUCCCUGCCCCAUUGGCAGUGCAGGAGUGGGAUGAGCCGCUGAGCCACUGAACCAGACUGGCAGAAAACCACCACCCAUCACUUGCAGGUACGUUCCUUGGUGCUGGGAGGGCUGAAGGUGCACACCAUGGGCCCAGGCACACACUGGUGCUGGCCUGUGGAGCAAAUGGAAGCCAGGGGGUGGAGGGGGAAGCAGGACAGAGGCAGCCCUGGCUCAGACUGAUGGAAGUUUCACGCAGUGGAAAGCAAAAUGCGUGAGGCUGGAGCUGUAUCCCCACCUACAUAAUGGAUUGCCCUGGGCACUGCACUAAAUACAUUAAGCAAUGAUGAAUAUUCAUAUUUUAAGAUUAAAUCUACCUCCUAAUGGAACUUUUCACUGGCAACCUUUUCUUAUUGUGCCUUGGAACUCCAUGUAUCUGAACAACUGCUGUUGGGUGAAAACACCUUCCCAAGUCAAAAUAACAAUAUCAA